This 239-nucleotide ribosomal RNA is filed under the name uncultured bacterium. RNAcentral describes it as "partial 16S ribosomal RNA". It matches the Rfam family "Bacterial small subunit ribosomal RNA", at positions 109 to 334 of the family's 1533-position model. The record is from RNAcentral.
AGUAACACGUGGAUAAUCUACCCGACAGUCGGGGAUAACAUUCCGAAAGGAAUGCUAAUACCUGAUAAGCCUACGCCCUCUUCGGAGGAAGUAGGAAAAGGUGGGGACCUUCGGGCCUGCCGUUGUUGGAUGAGUCCGCGGCCCAUUAGCUAGUUGGUAGGGUAAUGGCCUACCAAGGCUACGAUGGGUAGCUGGUCUGAGAGGAUGAUCAGCCACACUGGAACUGAGACACGGUCCAG